Molecule: long non-coding RNA, 241 nt
Filed under: Ursus americanus (American black bear)
Lineage: Eukaryota; Metazoa; Chordata; Mammalia; Carnivora; Ursidae
Description: lncRNA (ENSUAMG00000025147.1)
Source: RNAcentral
CCUGGAGUGAAUGAAAACAACCUCCUCCAACUGCCUUUCCAACAGUUCUACCAACUUGAUGCUUAUCCCUUGGCUGCUUGGUAUUAUCUUCCACAAAUCAUGCAGUAUAUUGCUUACACACCAUCCUACGACAUCAUUAAACCCAUGGCCUCUGAGAACAUUGAAAACGUUGAUGUUGUGCCAGAGUGGUGAAAAAUUAAGAAUUCUCAGGAACUCCACAAUUAUGGCUAUUGGUAAGUUU